ACUGACCCCUUUAAUAAUACUGAGAACUUCUAUAACCCUAUAGAACUUUUUAUGCUAAAACUAGUAACAAGAGAAAACCCUCUCCUAAAUGCAAGCGCAAGCCAGCAAGAACCCAUCACUGGCAACUAACAAACCCACAAAUAGCAACCUUAUACAAGAAAACCCUACUUUUCCCCCCUGUUAAACUUAUACUAGAGCAUUUCAAGAAAAAUUAAAAGAAAAAGAAGGAAUUCGGCAAACACUAACCCCGCCUGUUUACCAAAAACAUCGCCUCUUGACCCCCCCCCCCAUAAGAGGUCCAGCCUGCCCAGUGACUCUGUUCAACGGCCGCGGUAUUCUAACCGUGCAAAGGUAGCGUAAUCACUUGUUUUCUAAAUAAAGACCAGUAUGAAGGGCACCACGAAGGUUAAGCUGUCUCCUUUUUCUAAUUAGUGAACCUAAUCUCCCCGUGAAGAAGCGGGGAUUAAAAUAUAAGACGAGAAGACCCUGUGGAGCUUAAAAUACUAUAACACCUGCCUCUACUCUCCUACCACCCCGAUACUUCACCCAGACGGCACUCUGAUUAUAUAUUUUUGGUUGGGGUGACCGCGGAGAAAAACCCAUCCUCCACAAUGAAAGGAAUCUCCCCCUAAACAAUAAGCCACAACUUUAUGUAUUAAAAAAUUGACAUCCGUUGACCCAACAAGUUGAUCAAUGAACCAAGUUACCCCAGGGAUAACAGCACAAUCCACUUUAAGAGUCCAUAUCGACAAGUGGGCUUAUGACCUCGAUGUUGGAUCGGGG
RNAcentral lists this ribosomal RNA (783 nucleotides) under Pristimantis buenaventura (Buenaventura rainfrog). RNAcentral's name for it is "partial 16S ribosomal RNA". It matches the Rfam family "Bacterial large subunit ribosomal RNA", at positions 1544 to 2542 of the family's 2925-position model. The record is from RNAcentral. Lineage: Eukaryota; Metazoa; Chordata; Amphibia; Anura; Strabomantidae.